Long non-coding RNA from Pelobates fuscus (common spadefoot toad), 914 nucleotides. RefSeq lists it as uncharacterized. The record is from RefSeq and is a predicted model, not a curated record. NCBI's taxonomy places the organism in Eukaryota, Metazoa, Chordata, Amphibia, Anura, Pelobatidae. The transcript has 2 exons.
AAAGGGAAAGCCCAGCUCUGCAACGCUUAGUAACUCAAAGAAUCUGUGUAACAACAAAAAAAAAAAAUCCAGUACGUGGAAAAUGUUCAGAUUUUAGCAAACAUUGCAACUUUAUUUGAGCAAUUCCCCGACCCCUGCUUCCAUCAGACGACAGACACACACACACAAAUCCCACUGAGGACUUUUAGAAGACAAGGGGAGAUGUGACUGUUUCUGUUACUUUCAACAUUCUGGCUGAGAAUUUCUUCAACCGAAGCUGGGAUUUAUUGGACUGCAAACAGAAGUGAUCUGGAGUGGAGGUGCUGAUUGAGAAGGGCUUACUUGGGUAAUCUGGGUCAGUAUCCUGGGUCUAAUCACAGCCAGGUGGCCCCACUGCACCUCUCACACAUCAAUCAAUCCUAAGAAGAUACAGAGAGAAACUGUAAAAAAGAAACUUAAAGCUAAAUCAUUGGUAUGAUAUGCAUUAGGUGCUUAUUCACUAAACAGUGGGUUGAUCUAGUAACUAACUUGCAACAUUUAAAGCAAAAUAUUAAAGUUGCUAAAACACAUCUUGAAUUAAGCUGAUUAGUGUGGGGACAGUCAGAUUUGUAGCAGGAUACAAAUGUUGCACAAUCACGACAUACAUUUUGAACUUGGUUGGAAAAAGUACAUCACAUGUAUACGUUCUUUGUUUUAUUUCCUUUAUAUAAGGAUUUUAAAUAUUAUAACUCCACCCAUCAGUACAGGAUACAAUGUCACUUACUCCCCACUUAAACCACUUGAUAACAAAGAUUUGCAUGUCAUUUGCACAAUCUAUAUCCCUCUUCUUUGCCUUGCUAAGUGUUCAUGUAAUCAGCUGUUUGGGGUAUUUGUUUAUGUAAUUUAAUGUCAUUUUUACAGAUCUGCCCAAAGGAAAUAAAAUUUGGUAACAAGAA